GAUGAACGCUGGCGGCGUGCCUAAUACAUGCAAGUCGAGCGAACAGAUAAGGAGCUUGCUCCUUUGACGUUAGCGGCGGACGGGUGAGUAACACGUGGGUAACCUACCUAUAAGACUGGGAUAACUUCGGGAAACCGGAGCUAAUACCGGAUAACAUUUGGAACCGCAUGGUUCUAAAGUGAAAGAUGGUUUUGCUAUCACUUAUAGAUGGACCCGCGCCGUAUUAGCUAGUUGGUAAGGUAACGGCUUACCAAGGCGACGAUACGUAGCCGACCUGAGAGGGUGAUCGGCCACACUGGAACUGAGACACGGUCCAGACUCCUACGGGAGGCAGCAGUAGGGAAUCUUCCGCAAUGGGCGAAAGCCUGACGGAGCCACGCCGCGUGAGUGAUGAAGGGUUUCGGCUCGUAAAACUCUGUUAUUAGGGAAGAACAAACGUGUAAGUAACUGUGCACGUCUUGACGUUACCUAAUCAGAAAGCCACGGCUAACUACGUG
Molecule: ribosomal RNA, 497 nt
Filed under: uncultured bacterium
Lineage: Bacteria
Description: partial 16S ribosomal RNA
Rfam family: Bacterial small subunit ribosomal RNA
Source: RNAcentral